RNAcentral lists this ribosomal RNA (670 nucleotides) under Escherichia coli. RNAcentral describes it as "partial 23S ribosomal RNA". It matches the Rfam family "Bacterial large subunit ribosomal RNA", at positions 2252 to 2916 of the family's 2925-position model. Lineage: Bacteria; Pseudomonadati; Pseudomonadota; Gammaproteobacteria; Enterobacterales; Enterobacteriaceae. The record is from RNAcentral.
CAGUGUCUGGUGGGUAGUUUGACUGGGGCGGUCUCCUCCUAAAGAGUAACGGAGGAGCACGAAGGUUGGCUAAUCCUGGUCGGACAUCAGGAGGUUAGUGCAAUGGCAUAAGCCAGCUUGACUGCGAGCGUGACGGCGCGAGCAGGUGCGAAAGCAGGUCAUAGUGAUCCGGUGGUUCUGAAUGGAAGGGCCAUCGCUCAACGGAUAAAAGGUACUCCGGGGAUAACAGGCUGAUACCGCCCAAGAGUUCAUAUCGACGGCGGUGUUUGGCACCUCGAUGUCGGCUCAUCACAUCCUGGGGCUGAAGUAGGUCCCAAGGGUAUGGCUGUUCGCCAUUUAAAGUGGUACGCGAGCUGGGUUUAGAACGUCGUGAGACAGUUCGGUCCCUAUCUGCCGUGGGCGCUGGAGAACUGAGGGGGGCUGCUCCUAGUACGAGAGGACCGGAGUGGACGCAUCACUGGUGUUCGGGUUGUCAUGCCAAUGGCACUGCCCGGUAGCUAAAUGCGGAAGAGAUAAGUGCUGAAAGCAUCUAAGCACGAAACUUGCCCCGAGAUGAGUUCUCCCUGACUCCUUGAGAGUCCUGAAGGAACGUUGAAGACGACGACGUUGAUAGGCCGGGUGUGUAAGCGCAGCGAUGCGUUGAGCUAACCGGUACUAAUGAACCGUGAGG